Molecule: ribosomal RNA, 433 nt
Filed under: uncultured bacterium
Lineage: Bacteria
Description: partial 16S ribosomal RNA
Rfam family: Bacterial small subunit ribosomal RNA
Source: RNAcentral
AACGAACGCUGGCGGCAGGCCUAACACAUGCAAGUCGAGCGAGGACUUCGGUCCUAGCGGCGGACGGGUGAGUAACGCGUGGGAACGUGCCCUUUGCUUCGGAAUAGCCCUGGGAAACUGGGAGUAAUACCGGAUGAGCCCUUUGGGGGAAAGAUUUAUCGGCGAAGGAUCGGCCCGCGUUGGAUUAGGUAGGUGGUGGGGUAAUGGCCUACCAAGCCGACGAUCCAUAGCUGGUUUGAGAGGAUGAUCAGCCACACUGGGACUGAGACACGGCCCAGACUCCUACGGGAGGCAGCAGUGGGGAAUCUUAGACAAUGGGGGAAACCCUGAUCUAGCCAUGCCGCGUGAGCGAUGAAGGCCUUAGGGUUGUAAAGCUCUUUCAGCUGGGAAGAUAAUGACGGUACCAGCAGAAGAAGCCCCGGCUAACUCCGUG